CAGAGGGCAGGGUGCUGGCUAACGGCCAGUCGAGGCGACUCGCAGGAAAGUGCCACAGAAAACAGACCGCCCGUUCCCGCAAGGGGGCGGGUAAGGGUGAAACGGUGCGGUAAGAGCGCACCGCGUCCGGGGUGACUCGGACGGCACGGUAAACCCCACCUGGAGCAAGAGCCAAUAGGAGCGCGUCCCCGAAAGGGGACAAGGAUGGCCCGUCCCAUGCGCUCGGGUUGCUCGCUGACGAGGCCCCUGGGCAACCAGGGCCCUAGAUGAAUGUUCGCCGCCCAUCCCGAAAGGGGUGGGG
This 301-nucleotide unclassified non-coding RNA is filed under the name Corallococcus sp. 116803. RNAcentral describes it as "partial RNAseP RNA". It matches the Rfam family "Bacterial RNase P class A", at positions 60 to 326 of the family's 367-position model. From Rfam's summary of the family: Ribonuclease P (RNase P) is a ubiquitous endoribonuclease, found in archaea, bacteria and eukarya as well as chloroplasts and mitochondria. The record is from RNAcentral. Lineage: Bacteria; Pseudomonadati; Myxococcota; Myxococcia; Myxococcales; Myxococcaceae.